AUUAUUAUUUUCUUUUUUUCCUCAGAUUUUUUUCUCUCUCUCUCUUCUUUCCAUAGCCGCCCUCUUCCUCCACGUUAAUUGCGAUCUCUUCUCCAAAUCUCGGCCCUCUUCACCGAGGGUGAGAAAUCCCGCUCCACCGCCUCCCCAUCAUCACCGCAUCUGCCUGCCUCCUCGUCAUCCACCACAUCAGUCGUCGCCGCUCGUUCAUCUUCGUAGUUCCCCGACGGAAUCCGGCCGCUUUUCUCCCACUUCGAUUUGCAGAUGCCUGUAAUAAAAUCCGGCAGAAAAGGGCUUGACGUCAUCCGACGGGUCUACACAUUCUGAGGCCCAAUUCUCUAUCCGAUGGUAUUUGAUGGAGGUGCAGAGCACGCGCCACGUAGCACGUGAUAUCUUUAUCGAAAAACUUUAUGCCCAACCAUGCUUUCUCUUUCAUCUUUAUCAACAGUUGUACAGCUGAUUCAUUCCUCAUGUUUGCUUCCACCAUAACCUGGUGGAUAAUUAAGACUCUUCCUGAUUUACAGUUCUAGUGUUUCUGUUAUUUACAGUAUAUAAUCCCAAAAAUGAGUUCCUCUCUUUACACAUUCACAUAUGCUAGUGAUGUUGACGUUGAUAAUCAUAAAUCUAUUUCAAUUUUUAUAAUGAUUUUCUUGACGAAAUUGUUGAUGGGAGAAAGAAGAUGAUGAUUUUUUCCAAAUAGUGGUUUACGUUUCAAAUAACGAGAAAAAGAGAAAAGAUGAUUACACGGACUAUGCUCUAGGGUUCAUUGGAGAGAAGAUGGUGUCCUUUAUAGUGGUUUUAUAUUUUCUUUUUCGCAGAUUUUUUGAUGUUUUCUUGUUAUAAUUCAUAGUAAUUUUCGAUGUUUAUAUAGUUGUGUAUAUAAAGUGGUUUUCAUGUUUA
Erythranthe guttata (spotted monkey flower) is the source of this 897-nucleotide non-coding RNA. NCBI's taxonomy places the organism in Eukaryota, Viridiplantae, Streptophyta, Magnoliopsida, Lamiales, Phrymaceae. The record is from RefSeq and is a predicted model, not a curated record.